This 498-nucleotide long non-coding RNA is filed under the name Rhinopithecus bieti (black snub-nosed monkey). RNAcentral's name for it is "lncRNA (ENSRBIG00000046236.1)". Lineage: Eukaryota; Metazoa; Chordata; Mammalia; Primates; Cercopithecidae. The record is from RNAcentral.
CAAAUACGUAUUUUACAACAACAUAGGUGGCUUGAGGAUCUUAUAAUGUAGUUACUAAUAAGCUAACCUACAUGUUUUAUAGUAUUACUCCCUUAGCUUUGUGCCCCUAAUUUUUCUAUGCAAAUUAAAUUAGGUGAUUGAGAAUUAUUCAUUCCUUCCUUAACCAGAUCAUAUCUGUUGGAGAGAGCAUUGUAGAACUUGUGAAAAGCUUCAUUCAGCUGUUUCUUGGCAUUUUGUUUCAAAAUGUUAUCUCUUCACAUAGGAUUUGGUAACACUUUGAGUUCAAGUACCAGGGGAAGUAAGCUAUCCCUUCAAGAGUCAAAGAGCAAAUUCCAACGAGAAAUGUCAAACAGUUUUGUUUCAUCACAUAAGAUGUCAGAUAUUUCUUUAUCAAAUUCUGCUAUGCCCAGGUUCAGUGCAUCCUCCAUGACAAAAUUACCUCAACAAGCCAAAAAUGCAGUUCUUAUAAGAAGAAGCACUUCUUUGUUUUUCUUUUAA